Sciurus carolinensis (gray squirrel) is the source of this 107-nucleotide small nuclear RNA. The record is from RefSeq and is a predicted model, not a curated record. Lineage: Eukaryota; Metazoa; Chordata; Mammalia; Rodentia; Sciuridae.
GUGCUCACUUUGGCAGCACUUAUGCUAAAAUUGGUACAAUAGGGAGAAGAUUAGCAUGGCCCCUGUGUAAGGAUGACAUGCAAAUUUGUGAAGCGUUCCAUAUUUAA